UGUUACUGCAUUCAUCAUUGUUACUGGAGUUAUUCUUGGAUUCAUCCUCAGAAAAAUUCAUUGCAGAAACUGUUCAAGAACUGCUACAUCUGGAUUACCUGUAUGUAAAACUCCCAGCUCUUUGGAUCAAGAUGACACAGAUGACCCCUA
This is a long non-coding RNA of Scomber japonicus (chub mackerel), 150 nucleotides long. RefSeq lists it as uncharacterized. The record is from RefSeq and is a predicted model, not a curated record. The transcript is spliced from 3 exons. Lineage: Eukaryota; Metazoa; Chordata; Actinopteri; Scombriformes; Scombridae.